Molecule: ribosomal RNA, 330 nt
Filed under: uncultured eukaryote
Lineage: Eukaryota
Description: partial 18S ribosomal RNA
Rfam family: Eukaryotic small subunit ribosomal RNA
Source: RNAcentral
CCCUUAGAUGUUCUGGGCCGCACGCGUGCUACACUGAUGCAUUCAACGAGUCUAAAACCUGGUCUGAUAGGGCUGGGUAAUCUUUUGAAAGUGCAUCGUGAUUGGGAUAGAUGAUUGCAAUUCUUCAUCUUCAACGAGGAAUGCCUAGUAAACGCAAGUCAUCAGCUUGCAUUGAUUACGUCCCUGCCCUUUGUACACACCGCCCGUCGCUCCUACCGAUUGAAUGUUCCGAUGAAUACCAUGGACUGAGAGUAUGAAUGGGUUCGCCUAUUUCUGCUUCUCGGGAAGUGGAGUAAAUCUUAACAUUUAGAGGAAGGAGAAGUCGUAACA